GAUGAACGCUAGCUACAGGCUUAACACAUGCAAGUCGAGGGGCAUCAGGAAGAAAGCUUGCUUUCUUUGCUGGCGACCGGCGCACGGGUGAGUAACACGUAUCCAACCUGCCCUUUACUCGGGGAUAGCCUUUCGAAAGAAAGAUUAAUACCCGAUAGCAUAAUGAUUCCGCAUGGUUUCAUUAUUAAAGGAUUCCGGUAAAGGAUGGGGAUGCGUUCCAUUAGGUUGUUGGUGAGGUAACGGCCCACCAAGCCUUCGAUGGAUAGGGGUUCUGAGAGGAAGGUCCCCCACAUUGGAACUGAGACACGGUCCAAACUCCUACGGGAGGCAGCAGUGAGGAAUAUUGGUCAAUGGGCGCUAGCCUGAACCAGCCAAGUAGCGUGAAGGAUGAAGGCUCUAUGGGUCGUAAACUUCUUUUAUAUAAGAAUAAAGUGCAGUAUGUAUACUGUUUUGUAUGUAUUAUAUGAAUAAGGAUCGGCUAACUCCGUGCCAGCAGCCGCGGUAAUACGGAGGAUCCGAGCGUUAUCCGGAUUUAUUGGGUUUAAAGGGAGCGUAGGUGGACUGGUAAGUCAGUUGUGAAAGUUUGCGGCUCAACCGUAAAAUUGCAGUUGAUACUGUCAGUCUUGAGUACAGUAGAGGUGGGCGGAAUUCGUGGUGUAGCGGUGAAAUGCUUAGAUAUCACGAAGAACUCCGAUUGCGAAGGCAGCUCACUGGAUUGCAACUGACACUGAUGCUCGAAAGUGUGGGUAUCAAACAGGAUUAGAUACCCUGGUAGUCCACACAGUAAACGAUGAAUACUCGCUGUUUGCGAUAUACAGUAAGCGGCCAAGCGAAAGCAUUAAGUAUUCCACCUGGGGAGUACGCCGGCAACGGUGAAACUCAAAGGAAUUGACGGGGGCCCGCACAAGCGGAGGAACAUGUGGUUUAAUUCGAUGAUACGCGAGGAACCUUACCCGGGCUUAAAUUGCAGUGGAAUGAUGUGGAAACAUGUCAGUGAGCAAUCACCGCUGUGAAGGUGCUGCAUGGUUGUCGUCAGCUCGUGCCGUGAGGUGUCGGCUUAAGUGCCAUAACGAGCGCAACCCUUAUCUUCAGUUACUAACAGGUCAUGCUGAGGACUCUGGAGAGACUGCCGUCGUAAGAUGUGAGGAAGGUGGGGAUGACGUCAAAUCAGCACGGCCCUUACGUCCGGGGCUACACACGUGUUACAAUGGGGGGUACAGAAGGCAGCUAGCGGGUGACCGUAUGCUAAUCCCAAAAUCCUCUCUCAGUUCGGAUCGAAGUCUGCAACCCGACUUCGUGAAGCUGGAUUCGCUAGUAAUCGCGCAUCAGCCACGGCGCGGUGAAUACGUUCCCGGGCCU
RNAcentral lists this ribosomal RNA (1359 nucleotides) under uncultured bacterium. Its description in RNAcentral is "bacterial SSU rRNA". It matches the Rfam family "Bacterial small subunit ribosomal RNA", at positions 28 to 1381 of the family's 1533-position model. The record is from RNAcentral.